RNAcentral lists this ribosomal RNA (454 nucleotides) under uncultured bacterium. Its description in RNAcentral is "partial 16S ribosomal RNA". It matches the Rfam family "Bacterial small subunit ribosomal RNA", at positions 28 to 507 of the family's 1533-position model. The record is from RNAcentral.
GAUGAACGCUGACAGAAUGCUUAACACAUGCAAGUCAACUUGAACUUCGGUUUGGGUGGCGGACGGGUGAGUAACGCGUAAAGAACUUGCCUCACAGCUAGGGACAACAUUUGGAAACGAAUGCUAAUACCUGAUAUUAUGAUUAUAUGGCAUCGUAUAAUUAUGAAAGCUAUAUGCGCUGUGAGAGAGCUUUGCGUCCCAUUAGCUAGUUGGAGAGGUAACAGCUCACCAAGGCGAUGAUGGGUAGCCGGCCUGAGAGGGUGAUCGGCCACAAGGGGACUGAGACACGGCCCUUACUCCUACGGGAGGCAGCAGUGGGGAAUAUUGGACAGUGGACCGAGAGUCUGAUCCAGCAAUUCUGUGUGCACGAUGAAGUUUUUCGGAAUGUAAAGUGCUUUCAGUUGGGAAGAAAAAAAUGACGGUACCAACAGAAGAAGUGACGGCUAAAUACGUG